GGCCUUUAAGAAAACAUGGAAGACAAUUCAUGUUUGAAAAAUGCUGACAGGGUGAAGAAAGCCCAUGUAAAAAUGAAUCGCGUUUUAAGUGAUUCGGUUAAAGGGUUUGGGCUCCCGUAGCAAACUAAUACUAGAUAAUAAGGAAAUGGGGGUGAAUAUUUUUUUAUUGUUGUUAAAUCAUUUUGUGAAUGUCCCCCUCAAAAGAAGCUAAUGGAAUAUUUGGCAUAAAGGGCAUUUGGUGGUUUUUGUUGGGGGUGGGGGGGG
Molecule: long non-coding RNA, 264 nt
Filed under: Bos taurus (domestic cattle)
Lineage: Eukaryota; Metazoa; Chordata; Mammalia; Artiodactyla; Bovidae
Description: long non-coding RNA NONBTAT023745
Source: RNAcentral